GUCGAGCGCUUCUUUGACCGCAAGGUUGAAGAGGAGCGGCGGACGGCUGAGUAAUAUAUAGGAAUCUGCCCCUUAGUGGAACAUAGCUCCGAGAAAUCGGGGGUAAUUUUCCAUAGUAUCUCGCUCUGCGAGAUUAAAAGCCUUUACCGGUUGCUAAGGGAUGAGCCUGUAUCCUAUCAGGUUGUUGGUAGAGUAAUAGCCUACCAAGCCUAUGACGGGUAGCUGAUCUGGGAGGAUGAUCAGCCAGAGGGGGACUGAGACACGGCCCCCACUCCUACGGGAGGCAGCAAUCAGGAAUAGUCGGCAAUGGGCGAAAGCCUGACCGCGCGACACCGCGUGUAGGAUUAAGGUAUUAUUUAUCGUAAACUACUGUUGGAGGGGAAGAAGAUCGUCGUAAGACGGUUUGACGGUACCCUCCGAGAAAGGAGCCGCUAACUGCGUGCCAGAAGCGUCGGUAAUACGUGGGCUUCAAGCAUUAUCCGGUUUUAUUGGGCGUAAAGGGUCGUGUAGGCGGUUUGAUAAGGUAUCUUUGAAAGCUCGAUGCUCAACAUCGAGUUGGGGAUACAACUGUCAUGACUAGAAUUUCUUUAAGGGUAAUCGGAACUCAAAGAGGAGUAGUGAAAUGCGUUGAUACUUUGGGGAACACCAAUGGCGAAGGCAGAUUACUGGAAGGAAAUUGACGCUGAGACACGAAAGCUAGGGGAGCGAAGCAGAUUAGAGACCUGCGUAGUCCUAGCCGUAAACGAAUGUCUGCUACCUGCAUCUUCAUUGUGCCGUA
This 778-nucleotide ribosomal RNA is filed under the name uncultured bacterium. Its description in RNAcentral is "bacterial SSU rRNA". It matches the Rfam family "Bacterial small subunit ribosomal RNA", at positions 61 to 839 of the family's 1533-position model. The record is from RNAcentral.